Molecule: ribosomal RNA, 301 nt
Filed under: uncultured bacterium
Lineage: Bacteria
Description: partial 16S ribosomal RNA
Rfam family: Bacterial small subunit ribosomal RNA
Source: RNAcentral
CAGUCGCCACGGGAAUACAGAGGGUGCGAGCGUUAAUCGGAUUUACUGGGCGUAAAGCGUGCGUAGGCGGCUUUUUAAGUCGGAUGUGAAAUCCCUGAGCUUAACUUAGGAAUUGCAUUCGAUACUGGGAAGCUAGAGUAUGGGAGAGGAUGGUAGAAUUCCAGGUGUAGCGGUGAAAUGCGUAGAGAUCUGGAGGAAUACCGAUGGCGAAGGCAGCCAUCUGGCCUAAUACUGACGCUGAGGUACGAAAGCAUGGGGAGCAAACAGGAUUAGAGACCCGAGUAGUCCCUGUCUCUUAUAA